RNAcentral lists this ribosomal RNA (442 nucleotides) under uncultured bacterium. RNAcentral's name for it is "partial 16S ribosomal RNA". It matches the Rfam family "Bacterial small subunit ribosomal RNA", at positions 338 to 795 of the family's 1533-position model. The record is from RNAcentral.
CCUACGGGUGACUGCAGUGGGGAAUAUUGGGCAAUGGGCGCAAGCCUGACCCAGCAACGCCGCGUGAAGGAAGACGGCUUUCGGGUUGUAAACUUCUUUUAAGAGGGAAGAGCAGGAGACGGUACCUCUUGAUUAAGCCACGGCUAACUACGUGCCAGCAGCCGCGGGAAUACGUAGGUGGCAAGCGUUUUCCGGGUUUACUGGGUGUACAGGGCGUGCAGCCGGGAAGACAAGUCAGAUGUGAAAUCCCGCGGCUCAACCGCGGAACUGCAUUUGAAACUGUGUGUCGUGAGUACCGGAGAGGUCAUCGGAAUUCCUUGUGUAGCGGUGAAAUGCGUAGAUAUAAGGAAGAACACCAGUGGCGAAGGCGGAUGACUGGACGGCAACUGACGGUGAGGCGCGAAAGCGUGGGGAGCAAACAGGAUUAGAUACCCCGGUAGUC